Molecule: long non-coding RNA, 1413 nt
Filed under: Chinchilla lanigera (long-tailed chinchilla)
Lineage: Eukaryota; Metazoa; Chordata; Mammalia; Rodentia; Chinchillidae
Description: lncRNA (ENSCLAG00000025136.1)
Source: RNAcentral
AUGAGGACACAGUGGAGAAAAAUCCCAUUGCAAACAAAGCACAAAAUACAUGGGACGCAGGAGCACUGUAGCCCAGAAGUCUCCAUCAGGGACAGUAUGUUGUAUGAUGCCCAACCACAGAGCUUGGUGAAAAAUGAAGUUUCUCUUUGUUCCAGGACACUGGAACCUUCAUCUCCCAUCACAUCAUCCGAAGAUGACUCAGACAGCUAUCGAUGGGGAUCUAGGCCUUUGGCUGCUUUUAUAGAUGAGCACAGAUUCCUUCCAGUCUCUGGGAUAGGAAAGGGUAAUUGUAAAUGGCAUUUAAACUGGAGCGUUAAAUAAAAAAUAUCUUUCCAUACAACAGCAGACAGUAGGUCCUGGCAAUUUCUCAAAGAUUUUAGUUCACAGAUUUGAGAAAAUUCCAUUAGCUUUAAUUAUUUAUCAGCAGUCAAUUUAGAUUACUGUUCUUGACCUAUUUUCACAGUGUAUGGGCCACCCAGCAGUAGAAUAAAUGAAUAGUCUUUUUCUGCAAUGGUUGAUUUUCUGAAAUAAUAGAAAUCUAGUUGAAAGAAGGAAUGAAACCCCAAACAUGUAAUUACCACAGUAUAGACCCUGCCAUGCUGCCUUUGUAGUAGGAUAAAAUGCAUGUCUUUGUGAGUUUUUUGGUUAUUAAAUAAGAUUAUCUUGAAAGGGAUAAACUCACUCAUGCUAUAAUUUCUUCCCAUUUAAAUUUCUUUGCUCCAUUUAAAACAUGUUCUGUGUCCUGGCAGAAAGUCUCUAAUGCUGAUGGGUGUGCCUUUGGCACUAUCUUAAUAAAGCUGUGUGAUGGGAGGACAAACUUUGUGGAACCUGAGUGUGGUGGGAGGAGACCCCAGGAAUGUGCAGGGCCUAGGUGCAGGGAGAGGGGCAGCAAGGGGCACCAACAACAGAAGCCCCUAGGUUUCCAAGCAAGAGUGAGUCUGGAGAAUCUAUUGGCUGGUGAAUGGUGACAUGUGUAUCAGAGUAAUGCCAAAUUUCGACAGAAUGUGACAGAGGCUUAUGAUGGUAUGAAGGACAUGAGGAAGGGAAGAUGAGCAAUGUGCGAUGGCCACAACAUGAAGGCAGCUCAAAUGCUGGGAUGCUACUAUCUUCCAGGUGGGGCCUGGAUACUCCUGGUUCCCUCAGACCCUGUUCAAGGGCCCAGGGGUCUCAAACUACUUGUUACAUGCCUUUUUACUAGAAGCUUUGUCACCUGUAAUGACAUCUUUAUUCUGAUACUGUACAAAACCCGUUUUUAAUCUCUUACAUGGUCAGUGUUGAUAGAUAUAACAUGCACACGCACAUACUGGGGUAGGGAGAGCUUUCCCAAGCCCUCAAAGUUUCAGAAAUGGCUGCUCCAAGGAGUAUAGCUUUAGAGCCGAGAACUGCUGAUUGUCAGGAAGUCAAGGCUGUGCG